Molecule: transfer RNA, 81 nt
Filed under: Candidatus Kaiserbacteria bacterium
Lineage: Bacteria; Candidatus Kaiseribacteriota
Description: tRNA-Leu
Rfam family: tRNA
About the family: Transfer RNA (tRNA) molecules are approximately 80 nucleotides in length. Their secondary structure includes four short double-helical elements and three loops (D, anti-codon, and T loops).
Source: RNAcentral
GCGCGGGUGGUGAAACGGUAGACACGCCUGCCUUAGGAGCAGGUGCCGCAAGGCAUGGAGGUUCAAGUCCUCUCUCGCGCA